RNAcentral lists this ribosomal RNA (247 nucleotides) under uncultured bacterium. Its description in RNAcentral is "partial 16S ribosomal RNA". It matches the Rfam family "Bacterial small subunit ribosomal RNA", at positions 57 to 305 of the family's 1533-position model. The record is from RNAcentral.
GCAAGUCGCACGGAGAACAUGAAUAGCUUGCUAAUUGUGUUCUUAGUGGCGCACGGGUGAGUAACACGUGAGUAACAUGCCUCAUAGAGGGGAAUAGCCCACCGAAAGGCGGAUUAAUACCCCAUGGUCCCGCAAGGGUAAAGGUGGCUUCGGCUGCCGCUAUGAGAUUGGCUCGCGUCCUAUCAGCUUGUUGGUGAGGUAACGGCUCACCAAGGCGACGACGGGUAGCUGGUCUGAGAGGACGAUC